UGGGACUUGGUGAGGAGAGCAAAUUUAAAGGCCCCCAGAGGAGACUAAGCUUGAUGAUAAGAUGAAGGCCACGCCAGCAUCACCACACAAGGAGAGAGGUGGAAAGAGACAAGAAGAGGUGGUUGUAUUAGUUUCCUAUGGCUGCUAUGGUGGCUCAAAACAAGAGAAAUUCAUUGUCUCAUAAACCAGGAGGCCAGAAGUUGAAAUUAAGGAUCAUUCUGACCAGUAUAUAAAGAAAGAGUUCUCAGUAGAAGAGAAAAGACAUACGAAAAGCCAGUGCACUGACUCCUGCAGUCAUUAAGGAGAGAGAUGAUAGAGGCUUGAAGCGAGCGUGUUGGCAUUUACAGCCGAGGGGUGUGGACCUUGGGGGAAGGAUCUGAAGGAUUUGCUACUCUGGUGGGACUCUCCCUAUGGGACGAAUGAUCAUUCAGCACUGACUUAAGGCUUGGCUAUGUGACUAGCUGUGGCCAAUGAACUGUGAGCAGAAGUGGCGAGUUAUUCACCAAACAGAAACUUUCAAAUCCAUUGCAUGCUCUGCAUUGCACUUUGCCUUCAGGGUCAAGAUCCCAGCUGGGACUCACUGCUUCAGCACAAACCCAGUGGAAGAAGAUGUGAAGAGCAGGUCUCUACCCAAUAUUUCGUGUGGGGGAAAAAUAAACCUUGUUUCUGGGAGCUAUGGAGACUCGGGACUAACCAUUAACCACAGCAUAAACUAGAGAAAGCUGAGAAAACCAUCACAUCCUAUGUAGGGAAGUUGUAAAAUGAGAUGCUCUUAAUGGCUCUGGAGCCCACGGGCUUGUGGGAGGAACAGCAACCUUUACAUCAAACUUAUCUAAGGUCUGAGCCUAAGUCUGCCACAUACUAAGUUCUGAACAUCCACCAAUGAACCAAUGUCUCUGAGACUCAAUUUCCCAUCUGUCUUACAGGACUGUUGUGGGAUUAAAUGUGACCAUAUUGGCAAAGCAUAUGGUACAUUCCCACCUCUCUCUCCACAAAACAUCCUCAAGGUAUUUCACAAUGAAAAUGGCGAUGGGUCAACGAUGGAUCAGCAGAGACCCGUAAGAGCAGAACUGCUUAGCUGCUCUAACCUCAUCAUAUGUAUAGAGGUCCACGCAAAGAGGAGCUCAGCGAAACAAAGCGACACGUCAGCAAGAACGUGUUCUCAAGAACGUAUGAAUCACAUCACAAUGUUCUUCAGUUUAAAAAAUCGGAGAUAGUUUCUAUUGUUUUAAAGAACUUCAGCGAUUUUUUCAAAUUUUGAUUUUUCUCUGUCUUUUGUCUCAUUUUCAACUUAAGUUUCUGUCACAUAUAAAUGACUAUGAAUA
Long non-coding RNA from Bos taurus (domestic cattle), 1325 nucleotides. The record is from Ensembl. NCBI's taxonomy places the organism in Eukaryota, Metazoa, Chordata, Mammalia, Artiodactyla, Bovidae.